Molecule: ribosomal RNA, 439 nt
Filed under: uncultured bacterium
Lineage: Bacteria
Description: partial 16S ribosomal RNA
Rfam family: Bacterial small subunit ribosomal RNA
Source: RNAcentral
CCUACGGGCGGCAGCAGUGGGGGAUAUUGCACAAUGGAGGAAACUCUGAUGCAGCGACGCCGCGUGAGGGAAGACGGUCUUCGGAUUGUAAACCUCUGUCUUUGGGGAAGAAAAUGACGGUACCCAAAGAGGAAGCUCCGGCUAACUACGUGCCAGCAGCCGCGGUAAUACGUAGGGAGCGAGCGUUGUCCGGAAUUACUGGGUGUAAAGGGAGCGUAGGCGGGCGAGAAAGUUGAAUGUUAAAUCUACCGGCUUAACUGGUAGCUGCGUUCAAAACUUCUUGUCUUGAGUGAAGUAGAGGCAGGCGGAAUUCCUAGUGGAGCGGUGAAAUGCGUAGAUAUCACGAAGAACUCCGAUUGCGAAGGCAGCUCACUGGACUGCAACUGACACUGAUGCUCGAAAGUGUGGGUAUCAAACAGGAUUAGAUACCCUGGUAGUC